Molecule: unclassified non-coding RNA, 342 nt
Filed under: soil metagenome
Description: partial contains 5.8S ribosomal RNA, internal transcribed spacer 2, and large subunit ribosomal RNA
Rfam family: 5.8S ribosomal RNA (bases 1-120)
Source: RNAcentral
GAUGAAGAACGCAGCGAAAUGCGAUAAGUAAUGUGAAUUGCAGAAUCCAGUGAAUCAUCGAAUCUUUGAACGCACAUUGCGCCCGCCAGCAUUCUGGCGGGCAUGCCUGUUCGAGCGUCAUUUCAACCCUCGACCUCCCUUUGGGGAAGUCGGCGUUGGGGACCGGCAGCACACCGCCGGCCCUGAAAUGGAGUGGCGGCCCGUCCGCGGCGACCUCUGCGUAGUAAACCAACUCGCACCGGAACCCCGACGUGGCCACGCCGUAAAACACCCAACUUCUGAACGUUGACCUCGAAUCAGGUAGGACUACCCGCUGAACUUAAGCAUAUAAUAAGCGGAGGA